AGUGAACGCUGGCGGUAGGCCUAACACAUGCCAGUCGAACGGCAGCACAGUAAGAGCUUGCUCUUACAGGUGGCGAGUGGCGGACGGGUGAGGAAUACAUCGGAAUCUACUUUUUCGUGGGGGAUAACGUAGGGAAACUUACGCUAAUACCGCAUACGACCUACGGGUGAAAGCAGGGGAUCUUCGGACCUUGCGCGAUUGAAUGAGCCGAUGUCGGAUUAGCUAGUUGGCGGGGUAAAGGCCCACCAAGGCGACGAUCCGUAGCUGGUCUGAGAGGAUGAUCAGCCACACUGGAACUGAGACACGGUCCAGACUCCUACGGGAGGCAGCAGUGGGGAAUAUUGGACAAUGGGCGCAAGCCUGAUCCAGCCAUACUGCGUGGGUGAAGAAGGCCUUCGGGUUGUAAAGCCCUUUUGUUGGGAAAGAAAAGCAGCAGGUUAAUACCCCGCUGUUCUGACGGUACCCAAAGAAUAAGCACCGGCUAACUUCGUG
Molecule: ribosomal RNA, 492 nt
Filed under: uncultured bacterium
Lineage: Bacteria
Description: partial 16S ribosomal RNA
Rfam family: Bacterial small subunit ribosomal RNA
Source: RNAcentral